Molecule: small RNA, 109 nt
Filed under: Marmota monax (woodchuck)
Lineage: Eukaryota; Metazoa; Chordata; Mammalia; Rodentia; Sciuridae
Source: RNAcentral
GCUGGGUACAAUGACACAUGCCUGUAAUCCCAGCAACUCAGGAGGCUGAGGCAGGAGGAUUCCAAGUUUAAGGCCAGCCUAGGCAACUAGCAAGAAGACCCUGUCUCAA